This is a long non-coding RNA of Callorhinchus milii (elephant shark), 391 nucleotides long. RefSeq lists it as uncharacterized. The record is from RefSeq and is a predicted model, not a curated record. NCBI's taxonomy places the organism in Eukaryota, Metazoa, Chordata, Chondrichthyes, Chimaeriformes, Callorhinchidae. The transcript is spliced from 3 exons.
GUAGACUUUGAGACCGGUUUAAAUAGAACAAGCGGGAAUUUUAUCCGGAUUUAGUAUAUAUAUAUAUAUAUGUGUGUGUAUAUAUGUAUAUGCAAGUGUGGUGAGUCUCUGUGUUUAAUGGUAGGAAUUGUGAAAGCUUUUAGUUGAUGUUUUUUUGAAGACUGCAUUGCAAAGUCCUCAGAUUUACCUCCGACCUCAGAAACCCAGAGAAUCGGUGAGUCCGGAGGAGAUCAAAGUGAGCUGCAGGUCUCCCAUCUCUUACGCAGUCCAGGCGGCAACGAACGUGUUGAGAAACGUGUCACAAGAAGACUGUGACUGGAAGAUGUGAGGCUCUGAGGUCCACGGCUGCACCAGACACACAGAGAGACAGAGAGGAGGAGAGAGAGAGAGA